UACGAAGGGGGCUAGCGUUGCUCGGAAUUACUGGGCGUAAAGCGCACGUAGGCGGCUUCUUAAGUCGGUGGUGAAAUCCUGGAGCUCAACUCCAGAACUGCCUUCGAUACUGGGAAGCUCGAGUCCGGGAGAGGUGAGUGGAACUGCGAGUGUAGAGGUGAAAUUCGUAGAUAUUCGCAAGAACACCAGUGGCGAAGGCGACUUCCUGGCCUGUUCUUGACGCUGAGGCGCGAAAGCUAGGGGAGCAAACGGG
RNAcentral lists this ribosomal RNA (253 nucleotides) under uncultured bacterium. Its description in RNAcentral is "partial 16S ribosomal RNA". It matches the Rfam family "Bacterial small subunit ribosomal RNA", at positions 524 to 776 of the family's 1533-position model. The record is from RNAcentral.